RNAcentral lists this ribosomal RNA (505 nucleotides) under uncultured Planctomycetota bacterium. RNAcentral's name for it is "bacterial SSU rRNA". It matches the Rfam family "Bacterial small subunit ribosomal RNA", at positions 381 to 896 of the family's 1533-position model. Lineage: Bacteria; Pseudomonadati; Planctomycetota. The record is from RNAcentral.
GCCUGACGGAGCGACGCCGCGUGCGGGAUGAAGGCCCUUGGGUUGUAAACCGCUGUCAGGGGGAUGAAAGCCGCAAGGCUUGACAGAGCCCCAGAGGAAGCACGGGCUAAGUUCGUGCCAGCAGCCGCGGUAAGACGAACUGUGCGAACGUUAUUCGGAAUCACUGGGCUUACAGGGUGCGUAGGCGGCCUGCUAAGUAGGGUGUGAAAUCCCCCGGCCCAACCGGGGAACUGCGCUCUAAACUAACAGGCUUGAGUGAGCUAGGGGUGCACGGAACUUCCAGUGGAGCGGUGAAAUGUGUUGAUAUUGGAAGGAACACCGGAGGCGAAAGCGGUGCACUGGGGCUUAACUGACGCUGAGGCACGAAAGCCAGGGUAGCGAACGGGAUUAGAUACCCCGGUAGUCCUGGCCGUAAACGAUGAGCACUGGGCGGGAGGAGGUUCGCCUUCUCCGGCCGUAGCGAAAGCGUUAAGUGCUCCGCCUGGGGAGUAUGGUCGCAAGGCUG